This 318-nucleotide long non-coding RNA is filed under the name Medicago truncatula (barrel medic). RNAcentral describes it as "long non-coding RNA (MTRU_LNC005351)". The record is from RNAcentral. Lineage: Eukaryota; Viridiplantae; Streptophyta; Magnoliopsida; Fabales; Fabaceae.
GUGGGAGUGCCCUCACUGCAAAAUCACAGCACCUGAUGUGAAAUCGAUGCAGAUUCAUCAUGAUGCUAAGCAUCCAAAGAUCCCUUUUGAAGAAGAAAAGCUUGUUAACAAACAUGCUUCUACCGCUGCUCCUGCUGAAUCCUCCAAGCCUCGCCCUGGUGUUCGUGGUAGCCUCAAAAAGUGAUCUUUAUCAUCAUCAACAUCAUCGUGUGACUUUAAUCGACCCUUCAUUCAUGGCUUUUACUAUAUGUUCUAUUUUGUAAUCUUUUUCUUUUCAAGUUGUCUUUUUUUAGAGGGUUUUUGAAUAAUUUGUCAAAU